This 112-nucleotide ribosomal RNA is filed under the name Coccidula rufa. RNAcentral describes it as "partial 5.8S ribosomal RNA". It matches the Rfam family "5.8S ribosomal RNA", at positions 1 to 114 of the family's 154-position model. Rfam says of the family: 5.8S ribosomal RNA (5.8S rRNA) is a component of the large subunit of the eukaryotic ribosome. It is transcribed by RNA polymerase I as part of the 45S precursor that also contains 18S and 28S rRNA. The record is from RNAcentral. Lineage: Eukaryota; Metazoa; Arthropoda; Insecta; Coleoptera; Coccinellidae. RNAcentral also lists the same sequence under 1 other name.
UACCCUGAACGGUGGAUCACUUGGCUCGUGGGUCGAUGAAGAACGCAGCUAAUUGCGCGUCAACUUGCGAACUGCAGGACACAUGAACAUCGACAUUUCGAACGCAUCUAGA